AAUCGUCGGGUUAGCAAUAAUUCGGCGGUUCUAGUGGCGCACGGGUGAGUAACACGUGGGUAACCUGCCCUAGAGUUCGGGAUACCCUCUCGAAAGGGAGGCUAAUACCGGAUACGGUCCUCGGGUCGACAGAUCUGGGGAAGAAAGGUGGCGCAAGCUGCCGCUCUUGGAGGGGCUCGCGGCCUAUCAGCUAGUUGGCGGGGUAACGGCCCACCAAGGCUAUGACGGGUAGCUGGUCUGAGAGGACGACCAGCCACACGGGGACUGAGACACGGCCCCGACUCCUACGGGAGGCAGCAGUGGGGAAUUUUCCGCAAUGGGCGAAAGCCUGACGGAGUGACGCCGCGUGUGGGACGAAGGCCUUCGGGUCGUAAACCACUGUCAGUGGGAAAGAUGGGUGCCGGCGCGACAACCGCCGGUAUCUGACGGUACCUGCAGAGGAAGCCCCGGCCAACUCUGUGCCAGCAGCCGCGGUAAGACAGAGGGGGCAAGCGUUGCUCGGAAUUACUGGGCGUAAAGGGCGCGUAGGCGGAAUGGCAAGUCGGUCGUGAAAUCCUUCGGCUCAACCGAAGAACGUCGAUCGAAACUGCCGUUCUUGAGGAUUGCAGAGGAGACUGGAAUUCCCGGUGUAGCGGUGAAAUGUGUAGAGAUCGGGAGGAACACCGGUGGCGAAGGCGGGUCUCUGGGCAAUUCCUGACGCUGAGGCGCGAAAGCGUGGGGAGCAAACGGGAUUAGAUACCCCGGUAGUCCACGCUGUAAACGAUGACGACUAGGUG
RNAcentral lists this ribosomal RNA (776 nucleotides) under uncultured Bacillota bacterium. Its description in RNAcentral is "bacterial SSU rRNA". It matches the Rfam family "Bacterial small subunit ribosomal RNA", at positions 66 to 822 of the family's 1533-position model. Lineage: Bacteria; Bacillati; Bacillota. The record is from RNAcentral.